CACGUAGGCGGCUUACUAAGUCAGGGGUGAAAUCCUGGAGCUCAACUCCAGAACUGCCUUUGAUACUGGUAAGCUCGAGUCCGGGAGAGGUGAGUGGAACUGCGAGUGUAGAGGUGAAAUUCGUAGAUAUUCGCAAGAACACCAGUGGCGAAGGCGGCUCACUGGCCCGGUACUGACGCUGAGGUGCGAAAGCGUGGGAGCAAACA
Molecule: ribosomal RNA, 206 nt
Filed under: uncultured bacterium
Lineage: Bacteria
Description: partial 16S ribosomal RNA
Rfam family: Bacterial small subunit ribosomal RNA
Source: RNAcentral